GACUCAGUGAAAUUGAACUCGCUGUGAAGAUGCAGUGUACCCGCGGCAAGACGGAAAGACCCCGUGAACCUUUACUAUAGCUUGACACUGAACAUUGAGCCUUGAUGUGUAGGAUAGGUGGGAGGCUUGGAAGUGUGGACGCCAGUCUGCAUGGAGCCGACCUUGAAAUACCACCCUUUAAUGUUUGAUGUUCUAACGUUGACCCGUAAUCCGGGUUGCGGACAGUGUCUGGUGGGUAGUUUGACUGGGGCGGUCUCCUCCUAAAGAGUAACGGAGGAGCACGAAGGUUGGCUAAUCCUGGUCGGACAUCAGGAGGUUAGUGCAAUGGCAUAAGCCAGCUUGACUGCGAGCGUGACGGCGCGAGCAGGUGCGAAAGCAGGUCAUAGUGAUCCGGUGGUUCUGAAUGGAAGGGCCAUCGCUCAACGGAUAAAAGGUACUCCGGGGAUAACAGGCUGAUACCGCCCAAGAGUUCAUAUCGACGGCGGUGUUUGGCACCUCGAUGUCGGCUCAUCACAUCCUGGGGCUGAAGUAGGUCCCAAGGGUAUGGCUGUUCGCCAUUUAAAGUGGUACGCGAGCUGGGUUUAGAACGUCGUGAGACAGUUCGGUCCCUAUCUGCCGUGGGCGCUGGAGAACUGAGGGGGGCUGCUCCUAGUACGAGAGGACCGGAGUGGACGCAUCACUGGUGUUCGGGUUGUCAUGCCAAUGGCACUGCCCGGUAGCUAAAUGCGGAAGAGAUAAGUGCUGAAAGCAUCUAAGCACGAAACUUGCCCCGAGAUGAGUUCUCCCUGACUCCUUGAGAGUCCUGAAGGAACGUUGAAGACGACGACGUUGAUAGGCCGGGUGUGUAAGCGCAGCGAUGCGUUGAGCUAACCGGUACUAAUGAACCGUGAGGCUUAACCUUACAACGCCGAAGGUGUUU
RNAcentral lists this ribosomal RNA (919 nucleotides) under Escherichia coli. RNAcentral's name for it is "bacterial LSU rRNA". It matches the Rfam family "Bacterial large subunit ribosomal RNA", at positions 2030 to 2925 of the family's 2925-position model. Lineage: Bacteria; Pseudomonadati; Pseudomonadota; Gammaproteobacteria; Enterobacterales; Enterobacteriaceae. The record is from RNAcentral.